UAGGGAAUCUUCGGCAAUGGACCAAAGUCUGACCGAGCAACGCCGCGUGAGUGAAGAAGGUUUUCGGAUCGUAAAACUCUGUUGUUAGAGAAGAACAAGGACGUUAGUAACUGAACGUCCCCUGACGGUAUCUAACCAGAAAGCCACGGCUAACUACGUGCCAGCAGCCGCGGUAAUACGUAGGUGGCAAGCGUUUUCCGGAUUUAUUGGGCGUAAAGCGAGCGCAGGCGGUUUCUUAAGUCUGAUGUGAAAGCCCCCGGCUCAACCGGGGAGGGUCAUUGGAAACUGGGGGACUUGGGUGCAGAAGAGGAGAGUGGAAUUCCAGGUGUAGCGGUGAAAUGCGUAGAUAUAUGGAGGAAAACCAGUGGCGAAGGCGGCUCUCUGGUCUGUAACUGACGCUGAGGCUCGAAAGCGUGGGGAGCAAACAGG
This 429-nucleotide ribosomal RNA is filed under the name Gemmatimonadota bacterium. RNAcentral describes it as "Gemmatimonadetes bacterium partial 16S ribosomal RNA". It matches the Rfam family "Bacterial small subunit ribosomal RNA", at positions 355 to 776 of the family's 1533-position model. The record is from RNAcentral. Lineage: Bacteria; Pseudomonadati; Gemmatimonadota.